Molecule: ribosomal RNA, 381 nt
Filed under: uncultured soil bacterium
Lineage: Bacteria
Description: bacterial SSU rRNA
Rfam family: Bacterial small subunit ribosomal RNA
Source: RNAcentral
AGAUUGAACGCUGGCGGCAUGCCUAACACAUGCAAGUCGAACGGGAGUAGCAAUACUCUAGUGGCGGACGGGUGAGGAAUACGUAGGAAUUUGCCCUUAAGUGGGGGAUAACCCGGGGAAACCCGGAUUAAUACCGCAUGACCUCGAAAGAGCAAAGUGGGGGAUCGCAAGACCUCACGCUUUUGGAGAAGCCUACGUCGGAUUAGCUAGUUGGUGAGGUAAUGGCUCACCAAGGCGACGAUACCGUAACUGGUCUGAGAGGAUGAUCAGUCACACCGGAACUGAGACACGGUCCGACUCCUACGGGAGCAGCAGUGGGGAAUAUUGGACAAUGGGCGCAAGCCUGAUCCGAGCAAUGCCGCGUGUGUGAAGAGGCUUCGG